This 723-nucleotide ribosomal RNA is filed under the name Tetragnatha maxillosa. RNAcentral describes it as "SSU rRNA". It matches the Rfam family "Eukaryotic small subunit ribosomal RNA", at positions 406 to 1130 of the family's 1831-position model. The record is from RNAcentral. Lineage: Eukaryota; Metazoa; Arthropoda; Arachnida; Araneae; Tetragnathidae.
GCUACCACAUCCAAGGAAGGCAGCAGGCGCGCAAAUUACCCACUCCCGGCACGGGGAGGUAGUGACGAAAAAUAACAAUACGGGACUCUUUUGAGACCCCGUAAUUGGAAUGAGUACACUCUAAAUCCUUUAACGAUGAACUAUUGGAGGUAAAGUCUGGUGCCAGCAUCCGCGGUAACUCCAGCUCCAAUAGCGUAUAUUAAAGUUGUUGCGGUUAAAAAGCUCGUAGUUGGAUCUCAGUUUGUGCGCGCGCGGUCCGACGCGAGUCGGCUACUGCGUGCGUGCGACCGUGCCGCCGGUUUCCCUGGAUGAUCUUAACCGGUUGUCCCGGGUGACCGGCAAGUUUACUUUGAAAAAAUUAGAGUGCUCAAAGCAGGCGCAGACGCCUGAAUAAUGGUGCAUGGAAUAAUGGAAUAGGACCUCGGUUCUAUUUUGUUGGUUUUCUGGACACGAGGUAAUGAUUAAGAGGGACAGACGGGGGCAUUCGUAUUGCGACGCUAGAGGUGAAAUUCUUGGACCGCCGCACGACGAACUACUGCGAAAGCAUUUGCCAAGAAUGUUUCCAUUAAUCAAGAACGAAAGUCAGAGGUUCGAAGGCGAUCAGAUACCGCCCUAGUUCUGACCAUAAACGAUGCCAGCCAGCGAUCCGGCUGCGUUCCUCAAAUGACGCGCCGGGCAGCUUCCGGGAAACCAAAGCUUUUGGGUUCCGGGGGGAGUAUGGUU